CCCUUAGAUGUCCUGGGCCGCACGCGCGUUACACUGAUGCAUUCAACGAGCUUAUAACCUUGGCCGAGAGGCCUGGGCAAUCUUGUUAACGUGCAUCGUGAUAGGGAUAGAUUAUUGAAAUUAUUAAUCUUGAACGAGGAAUUCCUAGUAAACGCAGAUCAUCAAUCUGCAUUGAUUACGUCCCUGCCCUUUGUACACACCGCCCGUCGCUCCUACCGAUUGAAUGAUCCGAUGAAUAUCAUGGAUUGAGGAUGCAAGUAGGUUCACCUAUCUUCAUCUUCGAGAAGUGAAGUAAAUCUUAUCAUUUAGAGGAAGGAGAAGUCGUAACA
RNAcentral lists this ribosomal RNA (329 nucleotides) under uncultured eukaryote. Its description in RNAcentral is "partial 18S ribosomal RNA". It matches the Rfam family "Eukaryotic small subunit ribosomal RNA", at positions 1470 to 1796 of the family's 1831-position model. The record is from RNAcentral.